Cervus elaphus (red deer) is the source of this 241-nucleotide long non-coding RNA. RefSeq lists it as uncharacterized. The transcript has 3 exons. The record is from RefSeq and is a predicted model, not a curated record. NCBI's taxonomy places the organism in Eukaryota, Metazoa, Chordata, Mammalia, Artiodactyla, Cervidae.
UCUCUUGUGUUGUUGGAAGAGGGUGUUUGCUAUGACCAGUGCAUUCUCUUGGCAAAACUCUAUUGGCCUUUGCCCUGCUUCAUUCUGUACUCCAAGGCCAAAUUUGCCUUUUACUCCAGUUAUUUCUUAACUCCCUACUUUUGCAGUCCAGUUCCUUAUAAUGAAAAAGACAUCUUUUUUGGGGUAUUAGUCCUAGAAGGUCUUGCAGGUCUUCAUAGAACUGUUCAACUUCAGCUUCUUC